AGUGAACGCUGGCGGCAGGCCUAACACAUGCAAGUCGAGCGGCAGCGCGGGGGCAACCCUGGCGGCGAGCGGCGGACGGGUGAGGAAUUCGUCGGAAUCUGCCUCUUUGUGGGGGAUAACGUAGGGAAACUUACGCUAAUACCGCAUACGUCCUACGGGAGAAAGUGGGGGACCGCAAGGCCUCACGCAGAAAGAUGAGCCGACGACCGAUUAGCUAGUUGGUGGGGUAAAGGCCCACCAAGGCGACGAUCGGUAGCUGGUCUGAGAGGAUGAUCAGCCACACUGGGACUGAGACACGGCCCAGAGUCCUACGGGAGGCAGCAGUGGGGAAUAUUGGACAAUGGGCGCAAGCCUGAUCCAGCCAUGCCGCGUGUGUGAAGAAGGCCUUCGGGUUGUAAAGCACUUUUGUCCGGAAAGAAAUCCCUGGAGCUAAUACCUUCGGGGGAUGACGGUACCGGAAGAAUAAGCACCGGCUAACUUCGUG
This 484-nucleotide ribosomal RNA is filed under the name uncultured bacterium. Its description in RNAcentral is "partial 16S ribosomal RNA". It matches the Rfam family "Bacterial small subunit ribosomal RNA", at positions 29 to 507 of the family's 1533-position model. The record is from RNAcentral.